Molecule: ribosomal RNA, 494 nt
Filed under: uncultured bacterium
Lineage: Bacteria
Description: partial 16S ribosomal RNA
Rfam family: Bacterial small subunit ribosomal RNA
Source: RNAcentral
GACGAACGCUGGCGGCGUGCCUAAUACAUGCAAGUAGAACGCUGAAGGAGGAACUGCUCCUUCUGUUGAGUUUCGAAGCGGUGAGGUACGUGUAGGGUACCUGACCUGUCGUGGGGGGGGACUAUUGGAAAGGAAAGCUCAUCCCGUAUAACAGUAGAUGUUACCUGACAUUUGCUUAAAAGUUGCAAUUGCACCCCUACCAGAUGGACCCGCGUUGGAUUAGCUAGUUGGUGGGGUAACGGCUCACCAAGGCGACGAUAAAUAGCCGACCUGAGAGGUUGAUCGGCCACACUGGGACUGAGACACGGCCCAGACUCCUACGGGAGGCAGCAGUAGGGAAUCUUCGGCAAUGGACGGAAGUCUGACCGAGCAACGCCGCGUGAGUGAAGAAGGUUUUCGGAUCGUAAAGCUCUGUUGUAAGAGAAGAAAGAGUGUGAGGGUGGAAAGUUCACACUGUGACGGUAUCUUAACAGAAAGCGACGGCUAACUACGUG